GAGGCAGCAGUAGGGAAUAUUGGGCAAUGGAUGCAAGUCUGACCCAGCCAUGCCGCGUGCCGGAUGAAGGCCCUCAGGGUUGUAAACGGCUUUUAUUCGGGAAGAAGAGCAGGGAUGCGUCCUUGUGUGACGGUACCGAAUGAAUAAGCACCGGCUAACUCCGUGCCAGCAGCCGCGGUAAUACGGAGGGUGCGAGCGUUGUCCGGAUUUAUUGGGUUUAAAGGGUGCGUAGGUGGCUUUAUAAGUCAGUGGUGAAAUACGGUUGCUCAACAAUCGAGGUGCCAUUGAUACUGCAAAGCUUGAAAUAAUUGGAGGCUGCCGGAAUGGAUGGUGUAGCGGUGAAAUGCAUAGAUAUCAUCCAGAACACCGAUUGCGAAGGCAGGUGGCUACGAUUGGUUUGACACUGAGGCACGAAAGCAUGGGGAGCAAACAGGAUUAGAUACCCUGGUAGUCCAUGCUGUAAACGAUGAGGACUCGCUGUUUGAUGGCAACAUUGAGCGGCUUAGGGAAACCGUUAAGUCCUCCACCUGGGGAGUACGCCGGCAACGGUGAAACUCAAAGGAAU
This 565-nucleotide ribosomal RNA is filed under the name bacterium 332. RNAcentral describes it as "bacterial SSU rRNA". It matches the Rfam family "Bacterial small subunit ribosomal RNA", at positions 345 to 910 of the family's 1533-position model. The record is from RNAcentral.